GAGAAAGAACCGCAUGAACUGCUAACUCUGCAUCCCAUAUAUGAAAAUAUGGCUUCCUCA
This 60-nucleotide transfer RNA is filed under the name Pachylemur jullyi. Its description in RNAcentral is "tRNA-Ser". Lineage: Eukaryota; Metazoa; Chordata; Mammalia; Primates; Lemuridae. The record is from RNAcentral.